CCUACGGGUGGCAGCAGUAGGGAAUCUUCCACAAUGGGCGAAAGCCUGAUGGAGCAACGUCGCGUGGGUGAAGAAGGUCUUCGGAUCGUAAAACCCUGUUGUUAGAGAAGUAAGUGCGUGAGAGUAACUGUUCACGUUUCGACGGUAUCUAACCAGAAAGCCACGGCUAACUACGUGCCAGCAGCCGCGGGAAUACGUAGGUGGCAAGCGUUAUCCGGUUUUUUUGGGCGUAAAGGGAACGCAGGCGGUCUUUUAAGUCUGAUGUGAAAGGCUUCGGCUUAACCGGAGUAGUGCAUUGGAUACUGGGAGAGUUGAGUGCAGAAGAGGAGAGUGGAACUCGAUGUGUAGCGGUGAAAUGCGUAGAUAUAUGGAAGAACACCAGUGGCGAAAGCGGCUCUCUGGUCUGUAACUGACGCUGAGGUUCGAAAGCGUGGGUAGCAAACAGGAUUAGAUACCCGGGUAGUC
RNAcentral lists this ribosomal RNA (465 nucleotides) under uncultured bacterium. Its description in RNAcentral is "partial 16S ribosomal RNA". It matches the Rfam family "Bacterial small subunit ribosomal RNA", at positions 338 to 795 of the family's 1533-position model. The record is from RNAcentral.